CCUACGGGAGGCAGCAGUGGGGAAUAUUGGACAAUGGGGGGAACCCUGAUCCAGCCAUGCCGCGUGUGUGAAGAAGGCCCUCGGGUUGUAAAGCACUUUCAGUGAGGAAGAACGCCUGGUGGUUAAUACCCAUCAGGAAAGACAUCACUCACAGAAGAAGCACCGGCUAACUCCGUGCCAGCAGCCGCGGUAAUACGGAGGGUGCGAGCGUUAAUCGGAAUUACUGGGCGUAAAGCGCGCGUAGGUGGCUUGAUAAGCCGGUUGUGAAAGCCCCGGGCUCAACCUGGGAACGGCAUCCGGAACUGUCAAGCUAGAGUGCAGGAGAGGAAGGUAGAAUUCCCGGUGUAGCGGUGAAAUGCGUAGAGAUCGGGAGGAAUACCAGUGGCGAAGGCGGCCUUCUGGACUGACACUGACACUGAGGUGCGAAAGCGUGGGUAACAAACAGGAUUAGAUACCCCGGUAGUC
RNAcentral lists this ribosomal RNA (465 nucleotides) under Vreelandella stevensii. Its description in RNAcentral is "partial 16S ribosomal RNA". It matches the Rfam family "Bacterial small subunit ribosomal RNA", at positions 338 to 795 of the family's 1533-position model. The record is from RNAcentral. Lineage: Bacteria; Pseudomonadati; Pseudomonadota; Gammaproteobacteria; Oceanospirillales; Halomonadaceae.